Molecule: ribosomal RNA, 419 nt
Filed under: uncultured bacterium
Lineage: Bacteria
Description: bacterial SSU rRNA
Rfam family: Bacterial small subunit ribosomal RNA
Source: RNAcentral
GGGCCCGCACAAGCGGUGGAGUAUGUGGUUUAAUUCGAUGCAACGCGAAGAACCUUACCAGGGUUUGACAUCCUGCGAAUCUCUUGGAAACAGGAGAGUGCCUUCGGGAACGCAGUGACAGGUGGUGCAUGGCUGUCGUCAGCUCGUGUCGUGAGAUGUUGGGUUAAGUCCCGCAACGAGCGCAACCCACGUCUUUAGUUGCCUUUAUGGAACUCUAAAAAGACUGCCGGUUAUAAACCGGAGGAAGGCGGGGAUGACGUCAAGUCAGCAUGCCCCUUACACCCUGGGCUACACACGUGCUACAUUGGGCGAGACAAUGAGAUGCAAACCUGCGAGGGUAAGCUAAUCUAUAAACUCGUUCUAAGUUCGGAUUGUAGGCUGCAACUCGCCUACAUGAAGGUGGAAUCGCUAGUAAUCGC